GUACCGUGAGGGAAAGGCGAAAAGAACCCCGGCGAGGGGAGUGAAAAAGAACCUGAAACCGUGUACGUACAAGCAGUGGGAGCACCCUUUGGGGUGUGACUGCGUACCUUUUGUAUAAUGGGUCAGCGACUUAUAUUCUGUAGCAAGGUUAACCGAAUAGGGGAGCCGGAGGGAAACCGAGUCUUAAUUGGGCGUUAAGUUGCAGGGUAUAGACCCGAAACCCGGUGAUCUAGCCAUGGGCAGGUUGAAGGUUGGGUAACACUAACUGGAGGACCGAACCGACUAAUGUUGAAAAAUUAGCGGAUGACCUGUGGCUGGGGGUGAAAGGCCAAUCAAACCGGGAGAUAGCUGGUUCUCCCCGAAAGCUAUUUAGGUAGCGCCUCGUGAAUUCAUCUCCGGGGGUAGAGCACUGUUUCGGCUAGGGGGCCAUCCCGGCUUACCAACCCGAUGCAAACUGCGAAUACCGGAGAAUGUUAUCACGGGAGACACACGGCGGGUGCUAACGUCCGUCGUGAAGAGGGAAACAACCCAGACCGCCAGCUAAGGUCCCAAAGUCAUGGUUAAGUGGGAAACGAUGUGGGAAGGCCCAGACAGCCAGGAUGUUGGCUUAGAAGCAGCCAUCAUUUAAAGAAAGCGUAAUAGCUCACUGGUCGAGUCGGCCUGCGCGGAAGAUGUAACGGGGCUAAACCAUGCACCGAAGCUGCGGCAGCGAACGUAUCACUUAAAGCGAUUCAGCGGGUUACGAUUGACGGAGCGAAGCGACGUCAAAGCGUAUACAAAGUCGAGUCGGUUUAAGGAUACGUUCGUUGGG
Molecule: ribosomal RNA, 811 nt
Filed under: Salmonella enterica subsp. enterica serovar Bovismorbificans
Lineage: Bacteria; Pseudomonadati; Pseudomonadota; Gammaproteobacteria; Enterobacterales; Enterobacteriaceae
Description: partial 23S ribosomal RNA
Rfam family: Bacterial large subunit ribosomal RNA
Source: RNAcentral